CUACGGGCCGCUCCAGUGAGGAAUAUUGCACAAUGGGGGGAACCCUGAUGCAGCAACGCCGCGUGGAGGACGACGCAUUUCGGUGUGUAAACUCCUUUUAUAUGUCAAGAAAAUGACGGUAGCAUAUGAAUAAGCACCGGCUAACUCCGUGCCAGCAGCCGCGGUAAUACGGAGGGUGCAAGCGUUACUCGGAAUCACUGGGCGUAAAGGACGCGUAGGCGGGUUGGAAAGUCAGGUGUGAAAUCCUACAGCUUAACUGUAGAACUGCACUUGAAACUUCUAAUCUAGAGUAUGGGAGGGGGAGAUGGAAUUAGUGGUGUAGGGGUAAUAUCCGUAGAUAUCACUAGGAAUACCUAAAGCGAAGGCGAUCUCCUGGAACAUUACUGACGCUAAGGCGUGAAAGCGUGGGGAGCAAACAGGAUUAGAUACCCCUGUAGUC
RNAcentral lists this ribosomal RNA (439 nucleotides) under uncultured bacterium. RNAcentral's name for it is "partial 16S ribosomal RNA". It matches the Rfam family "Bacterial small subunit ribosomal RNA", at positions 339 to 795 of the family's 1533-position model. The record is from RNAcentral.